CUUGCUCUCUGGGUGACGAGCGGCGGACGGGUGAGUAAUGUCUGGGAAACUGCCUGAUGGAGGGGGAUAACUACUGGAAACGGUAGCUAAUACCGCAUAACGUCGCAAGACCAAAGAGGGGGACCUUCGGGCCUCUUGCCAUCAGAUGUGCCCAGAUGGGAUUAGCUAGUAGGUGGGGUAAUGGCUCACCUAGGCGACGAUCCCUAGCUGGUCUGAGAGGAUGACCAGCCACACUGGAACUGAGACACGGUCCAGACUCCUACGGGAGGCAGCAGUGGGGAAUAUUGCACAAUGGGCGCAAGCCUGAUGCAGCCAUGCCGCGUGUAUGAAGAAGGCCUUCGGGUUGUAAAGUACUUUCAGCGAGGAGGAAGGCAUUGUGGUUAAUAACCACAGUGAUUGACGUUACUCGCAGAAGAAGCACCGGCUAACUCCGUGCCAGCAGCCGCGGUAAUACGGAGGGUGCAAGCGUUAAUCGGAAUUACUGGGCGUAAAGCGCACGCAGGCGGUCUGUCAAGUCGGAUGUGAAAUCCCCGGGCUCAACCUGGGAACUGCAUUCGAAACUGGC
RNAcentral lists this ribosomal RNA (565 nucleotides) under Enterobacter sp. enrichment culture clone ESN461_EN2. RNAcentral's name for it is "bacterial SSU rRNA". It matches the Rfam family "Bacterial small subunit ribosomal RNA", at positions 75 to 637 of the family's 1533-position model. Lineage: Bacteria; Pseudomonadati; Pseudomonadota; Gammaproteobacteria; Enterobacterales; Enterobacteriaceae. The record is from RNAcentral.